CACAAGGGGUGAAGCCUGCGGUUCAAUUGGAGUCAACGCCGGGAAUCUUACCGGGGGCGACAGCAGAGUGAAGGUCAAGCUGAAGACUUUACUAGACAAGCUGAGAGGAGGUGCAUGGCCGUCGCCAGCUCGUGCCGUGAGGUGUCCUGUUAAGUCAGGU
Molecule: ribosomal RNA, 160 nt
Filed under: uncultured archaeon
Lineage: Archaea
Description: partial 16S ribosomal RNA
Rfam family: Archaeal small subunit ribosomal RNA
Source: RNAcentral